GAAACCUAGCAGAGGGCCAGUCUGGUGCCAGCAGCUGCGGUAAUUCCAGCUCUGCGAGUUUGCUCCCAUAUUGUUGCAGUUAAAACGCCCGUAGUCUGAAUUGGCCAGCAAUGGUCGUACGUAUUUUUACGUUCACUGUGAACAAAUCAGGACGCUUAGAGUAUGGCCACAUGAAUGACUCAGCGCAGUAUGAAGUCUUUGUUUUCUUCCGAAAACAAGCUCAAUGAGAGCCAUCGGGGGUAGAUCUAUCUCAUGACGAGUGGUGGAAUACUUUGACUCAUGAGAGAGAAGCUGAGGCGAAGGCGUCUACCUAGAGGGUUUCUGUCGAUCAAGGGCGAGAGUAGGAGUAUCCAACAGGAUUAGAGACCCUGGUAGUUCCUACCUUAAACGAUGCCGACAGGAGUUUGUCAUUUGUUAAUGGCAGAAUCUUUGGAGAAAUCAUAGUUCUUGGGCUCUGGGGGAACUACGACCGCAAGGCUGAAACUUGAAGGAAUUGACGGAAGGGCACACCAGGGGUGGAGCCUGUGGCUUAAUUUGAAUCAACACGGGGAAACUUACCAGGACCAGAUGUUUUUUAUGACUGACAGGCUUCGGGUCUUUCAGGAUAUUGUUUUUGGUGGUGCAUGGCCGUUGGUGGUGCGUGGGUUGACCUGUCUAGCGUUGAUUCAGCUAACGAGCGAGAUUAUCGCCAAUUAUUUACUUUGCCGAAGUCCUUCGGUUAAAGUUCUAAUUGGGACUCCCUGCGAUUUUAGCAGGUGGAAGAGGGUAGCAAUAACAGGUCCGUGAUGCCCUUUAGAUGCUCUGGGCUGCACGCGUGCUACAAUGUUAGGAUCAAUAGGACUGCGAGCCUGAGAGGGUGCGCUACUCUUAUAAUCCCUAACGUAGUUGGGAUUGACGUUUGUAAUCAGCGUCAUGAACCAGGAAUCCCUUGUAAAUGUGUGUCAACAACGCACGUGAAUACGUCCCUGCCCUUUGUACACACCGCCCGUCGCUCCUACCGAUUGGAUGACUCGGUGAAAUCACCGGAUGCUUACGAGCAGAAAGUGAUUAAAUCACGUUAUCUAGAGGAAGGAGAAGUCGUAACAAGGUAACGGUAGGUGAACCUGCCGUUGGAUCAGUU
This 1120-nucleotide non-coding RNA is filed under the name Trichomonas vaginalis G3. RNAcentral describes it as "Eukaryotic small subunit ribosomal RNA". It matches the Rfam family "Eukaryotic small subunit ribosomal RNA", at positions 539 to 1831 of the family's 1831-position model. The record is from Rfam by way of RNAcentral. Lineage: Eukaryota; Parabasalia; Trichomonadida; Trichomonadidae.